Molecule: unclassified non-coding RNA, 915 nt
Filed under: Hevea brasiliensis (rubber tree)
Lineage: Eukaryota; Viridiplantae; Streptophyta; Magnoliopsida; Malpighiales; Euphorbiaceae
Source: RNAcentral
UAUCACGCUCGCCUGCAACCUCUGAUAAGAAAUCAAAAGAAUCGAGAGAGAAACAAUGGCGUGGUAUGCUUUGAAACCCUUCCAUGUCCCUAUGAUGAAGGCUGGCGCACUUCGUCCUCGGUCUCCGCUGACCAUCGGCGGCUUCGGGUGCGCUUCAGUCGUCGGGACAAACCUCUGGAACUCUUCUUCCCACCCAUCUUUUUCUCCGCCCUUCGCUUCAUUAAGCACUGCCACCACUUGUUCUAAAAAGGAGGCUGUUAAGACAGACAAGGCUCCAGCAGCAUUGGGACCAUAUUCUCAAGCAAUCAAAGUCAACAACCUUAUAUUUGUUUCUGGUGUUCUAGGUCUUAUUCCGGAGACUGGGAAGUUCAUCUCAGAUAGUGUUGAGGAUCAGACGGAACAGGUGCUAAAAAAUAUGGGUGAAAUACUAAAAGCUAGUGGUGCUGACCAUUCAUUCGUUGUAAAGACAACAAUCAUGUUGGCUGACCUGAAAGAUUUCAAAAAAGUGAAUGAGAUCUAUGCAAAAUACUUUCCUGCUCCAUUUCCUGCUCGUUCAACGUAUCAGGUAGCAGCAUUGCCAUUGGAUGCAAAGAUUGAAAUUGAGUGCAUUGCUGAACUUCCCUGAAAACUUGAACUCGGGCCUCAUCAUUUAGGGACUUGGCCAACUUCAGAAAGUGCGAAAGUUAACAAGGUGGGAUGGGGGUGAACUGACCAUGAUAAUUGUGGUCUGCUUUUGUCUUGCUUUUCUCAAAUGUUGCUUUGUCUAGUGCGACACUAAUAGUGAAAUAGUGGUCUAGUGGACAUCAUUUAGAGCAAGGGAUAAGCCCUAAUGCAAUUGGGGAAUUGGGAAUGGAUAAAAUUUGAGGAUGCUAAAAUUUUUAUUAAAAUUUUGUUGUAGCGGUGUUAUCAGCCAAG